ACAAGGUAAUUGAGAACAGCCAGCAUGGAUUACCAAGAACAAAUCAUGCCUGACUAACCUGAUUACAUUCUGUGAUGAAGGAGCUGGCACUGUGGACAAAGGGAGAACUGUGUAUGAAGUUUACCUUGACUUAAUCAGAGUAAGAAAUCACAUAUACCUUCUGUCCUGAAGAUCUUGCAACAUGCAGGACUCAGGUUCCACAACAGAAAGCAGAGGAAGUAGACAUACAUUUCAGUGAGAUUGGCUCAGUGAUUGCAGGGAGGAGGUCAUCUGAAAACUGAUCUGCAAUCCAUUUGUGAUUUAAUUUUCCAGAUGAGGAAGAUCCUCUAAUCAUGUUGUAUUAAGCAAUUACGAGUAGAGUUUGUAAAGGAAUCUUAACUUGAAUACCACCUAAAAUGUACUACUUAAGAAAAUCAAGAGAACACUUUUUUCUUUUUGUUUCCUCUAACCUGUGCUAUUAUGAUGUUGCUGUGUAAUAAGGACAUUGUAUGCCACUUUGAUCCUUUCAAAGGCACUAAGUAUAUAACAGAUUAAAAAAGGGAUUAUCGGAUCCAGUGACUUUGCUGAACCAGCACUGCUAAAUCAGUGCUCAUGAAGAUAUUUAUAAACUGCUCUUUUGUAGCCUACAGUUGCACUGUCCAUUUCAGUUAAAAUCAUAACUUUUUCCUUAGGAAUGGUAAGGGGAUGAGAUGAGAGAUGCAGUGCAGCACUUGACUUAUUGUAUGUUCUGCUAAGAUAUGAUUUACAGGCCUUUUGUUUGUUGCUGGACAUCCGUAUUGCAGACAGCUCUCAUUUGUUGAAUACUUCGCAGCCAAAUAGAAUUGCAUAGGAGUAUGUGUGUAGUUUAUGUGUAUGUAGAUAUGUAUACAAAUAAAACUAUAAAACACACAUGCCUUUUUGAUGUAUCUGAGUAGAACUGUAUAUAUACAUACCUUCAUAUCCACAUGCAUAUACAUACAUGCAUAUGUGCAUGCAUAUAUAAAACAUGCACACACGUAUAUGGGUGAUCUCUAGCAGCCUUUUUUCUAACAGAAUCAAGAAAAAACAGAUUGCGUACUUGUGGAAAGCUUACUACUUGCUUAAGAAAGUUGUUUUGUUUAGUUUUGUUGUGAAUGUUACUUUAAGAGAAUGAUGUCUGUUUAAGACUUCUUAACUUUUCACGUGUAGACCAUCACAGGGAGUGAUGCAUUGCUCAUGAGAGGAUAUACUGUGGAGUAAAAAGCUUGCUGGAAAAUUGCUGUAAGCAUAGUUCUACUUGUGUUAUUUUACGAAUCAAGGAUUUGUGAUCUCUUCAGUCUUAAGUAGUA
Long non-coding RNA from Numida meleagris (helmeted guineafowl), 1307 nucleotides. RefSeq lists it as uncharacterized. The transcript is spliced from 3 exons. The record is from RefSeq and is a predicted model, not a curated record. NCBI's taxonomy places the organism in Eukaryota, Metazoa, Chordata, Aves, Galliformes, Numididae.